Molecule: ribosomal RNA, 484 nt
Filed under: uncultured bacterium
Lineage: Bacteria
Description: partial 16S ribosomal RNA
Rfam family: Bacterial small subunit ribosomal RNA
Source: RNAcentral
AUUGAACGCUGGCGGCAGGCCUAACACAUGCAAGUCGAGCGGAUGAAGGGAGCUUGCUCCUGGAUUCAGCUGCGGACGGGUGAGUAAUGCCUAGGAAGCUGCCUGGUAGUGGGGGAUAACGUCCGGAAACGGGCGCUAAUACCGCAUACGUCCUGAGGGAGAAAGGGGGGGAUCUUCGGACCUCACGCUAUUAGAUGAGCCUAGGUCGGAUUAGCUAGUUGGUGGGGUAAAGGCCUACCAAGGCGACGAUCCGUAACUGGUCUGAGAGGAUGAUCAGUCACACUGGAACUGAGACACGGUCCAGACUCCUACGGGAGGCAGCAGUGGGGAAUAUUGGACAAUGGGCGAAAGCCUGAUCCAGCCAUGCCGCGUGUGUGAAGAAGGUCUUCGGAUUGUAAAGCACUUUAAGUUGGGAGGAAGGGCAGUAAGUUAAUACCUUGCUGUUUUGACGUUACCAACAGAAUAAGCACCGGCUAACUUCGUG